UACGGAGGGUGCGAGCGUUGUCCGGAAUUACUGGGCGUAAAGGGCGCGUAGGCGGCGUCGGUCGUCCGUGGUGAAAGCUCGUGGCUCAACUGCGAGUCGGCCAUGGAUACUCCGAUGCUUGAGCACUGUAGAGGCAGGUGGAAUUCCGGGUGUAGCGGUGGAAUGCGUAGAGAUCCGGAAGAACACCGGUGGCGAAGGCGGCCUGCUGGGCAGGAGCCGACGCUGAGGCGCGACAGCGUGGGGAGCAAACAGG
Molecule: ribosomal RNA, 253 nt
Filed under: uncultured bacterium
Lineage: Bacteria
Description: partial 16S ribosomal RNA
Rfam family: Bacterial small subunit ribosomal RNA
Source: RNAcentral